Molecule: long non-coding RNA, 2278 nt
Organism: Polypterus senegalus (gray bichir)
Lineage: Eukaryota; Metazoa; Chordata; Cladistia; Polypteriformes; Polypteridae
Exons: 3
Source: RefSeq, a predicted model, not a curated record
GAAUGCAUGUCGCGUGAAACAUUGUGGGACACGCUGCACUUGUUUUCUAGAGCGUUCAUCCCAUGUAUGACGUUUACAAACUCUGUGUGUGCUUUUAUAGAGUUUCCCGUGUCCAACUCGACAACAUAUUUACAAGGUUCGUCACGCCACGAGAAGUUGGACCUCUACAGCAGGUGUUUCUUUGUAAUUAACUGAAGAUGUGUGUUCCCCCUCAACAAACUUGAUCACUUCUGGGAUGGCCGGCUCAUGUAUCAGCAGGGUGAGGAGUUAGCACAUUUGGUGACGCCCUGUGACAUUCUGAAGACACAAAGGUAAAGUUGACUUGACUCGGUGUCACGUGACUCUGGAGGGCACUACCCGAAAUCAAAGCACACACACUUAAUCAGCAGUCAUCUGAAGCGAACAUUAUACAGUAAGAGCCAAGACUGGAAAGUAUGAAAAAAAAAUGCAGUAGUCUUUAUACUGUAUAUGGGAGGACUACUGCAUGUCAGAGUGUGGCCACAAGGUGGCAGCAGAAGACAGCGUUGGAGCCCCCCGGCCCACCCCCGGCCCUGCUGACAGAAGCGUCACAACUCAGCAGCAGGUUGUCACGCAGCCCUGGGAGACUGAAGGACUUUUCUUUUGUUGCUAAUUAAGAUGCAGUCAGACUUAAGCUGCCGACGGCCCUCAAUGACAGCAGCCUCCAUUUCUUAAAAACAUACAGGUUAAAGGAUAUGAUCAUUAAUCCUUGACAUGAAAACACGGUAUUAGCUAAAAUGAAAUGACAGAUACGUGCAGCACCUCCUUUUGUGCACAUUGUACAGCACAUCUCGGUGUGUUGUAAAAGCACACAAAAGUCGACUUUCAUUUUUGGCAUAAAUUAGUGUGGCCACAGUUUUGCUUUUGAGUUAGAAGACAGCUAAUUGUCAGAAUUGCGCUACACACUUAAGGGGGCUGGCUGCUGUCAUAUGUGUCUGCUUCAGAUGAAUCAGCAUCUUUCUUGAUAUAGGCAGACAUAUGGCGUCUUCAUGUACUCGACACGAAAUGAUCUCCCACUGUUAGACAGCUAACUGGAAAAGUAAAGUAGGAUUAUGAUAGCAGAGCUGCAGGUGUCCAAAUCACAGGAUGGCACUAGAAGUACUGUGCUGUACGUCAGGCGGCAGGAUUUAUAGAAACCUGACCUCAGGUAAAGCCGUGGUGUAGCAGAGCAAGGAAGGGUCAGUCUGCCACUAACUAAAACUCACAAGGCGCUAAGAUUUGGCAAGAUCUGUCUUCUAGCACAACGGGAGAAAGAAAUCUGCCAGCAGACAGCAGAGACAUUUGCUGGCAUGAGACAUCAGUCAAAUAAAACUGCACUCUUCAAAAAACCGAGCAGCAAGUAAACCUGAGACAUUCUGAAACUGCAACUUAUUGUGUUAUGACAGAAUCAAACUGUGGGGAGGGAAAGCUCAAAGGUACAGAAAUCUGACACCCAUGAGAUAAAACUACAGGGUAGAAAAGUUUAAGAGGACCAGGGGCCCACAAGGGAAGGAUACAGAGUGUCCAUCUGACAGUGUGUCACAUAACAAGGUAAAUGUUCUGGGUAAAGAGAGACCUGAGUGGACCGUCCUGUCAGGAGUCAAGGCCACAGGACCCAGAGAGUUAACCAAAUCACACUUCCAAGUGCCGUGUUGACUGGACAGGAUCAGGUACCUGUCUGAUAAGACUGGCCAGAGACCUUAAAUGAGGUAAAGGGCACACCUCUUAUCAACUGAAGGAGAGCUCUCUGACAUCAUCACGUGUCAAUCUGGCAAACCUUAUAAAAAGUAAAACUCACGCAUACCAGGGGCUGACAAGAUCAGACAGCAUAGAGUUUGAGUAACAGAACAGAGAGAUGUGACGCUCAUAAGGGAGAGAUUCUUAUUAGAUCCUUGUUAGAUAAAGCCGCAUGCUAGUGCAAUCAAACAGAUCAUGCUACCUGUGCUAUACAGAUUUGAAAAGCUCACAUCCAAAUGGGGAAAAGAUGCUGGCCAAAUUAUCAGCUGUCAUCACAAUACAGUAGCAGUAAAGGGAUAAGACAUCUAGUAGAGACAUUUACAGAAUAGCAAAAUCUGAGAGGAUAAGAUACCCAUCUUGUAAAGCCUUGGGCAGUGGUCACAGUUAGCUAGUGGAGAACAAAAUUACCAAGGACACAGUGGCAGCUCUGUUGGUUGCUUUUUACAAAGAUGCCCUCCUCCAAUUUCCCAUGUCACGCACGUGCACAUGGGAGGCAGCUAAAGGGCUUGAGUGAAGGCAGUUCUGAGGCAUGCCGGGAUGUGGC